This 26-nucleotide non-coding RNA is filed under the name Drosophila melanogaster (fruit fly). The record is from RNAcentral. Lineage: Eukaryota; Metazoa; Arthropoda; Insecta; Diptera; Drosophilidae.
AAGAUACCACUUCGUUCUGGUCCCGC